UACGUAGGGGGCAAGCGUUGUCCGGAAUCAUUGGGCGUAAAGCGCGUGUAGGCGGCCCGAUAAGUCCGCUGUGAAAGUCCAGGGCUCAACCCUGGGAUGCCGGUGGAUACUGUCGGGCUAGAGUCCGGAAGAGGAGAGUGGAAUUCCUGGUGUAGCGGUGAAAUGCGCAGAUAUCAGGAAGAACACCAAUGGCGAAGGCAGCUCUCUGGGACGGUACUGACGCUGAGACGCGAAAGCGUGGGGAGCGAACAGG
Molecule: ribosomal RNA, 253 nt
Filed under: uncultured bacterium
Lineage: Bacteria
Description: partial 16S ribosomal RNA
Rfam family: Bacterial small subunit ribosomal RNA
Source: RNAcentral